UUCUUUUCAACGGUGAUGGCCGCUACCUUAUCCAUCCAAGACCUACGAAAGUCGGAGAUCUUCCGAUAGCCGCUCUCUAGAGUGUGCAUAUCGUGCACCCACUGAAAGCAGAAGAUAGAUCAAGUUAGAUCAGAUUAAAAAAUAAAAAAAGAAGAGAUGUCAGAAAACUUACCUCGAGUAUCAUCAGAUAGAAAGAAGAAAAUAUUUCGACAACAGUCUGAUUCUUUCUGUUCUCCUGAUC
RNAcentral lists this long non-coding RNA (241 nucleotides) under Elaeis guineensis (African oil palm). RNAcentral describes it as "long non-coding RNA (EGUI_LNC027125)". Lineage: Eukaryota; Viridiplantae; Streptophyta; Magnoliopsida; Arecales; Arecaceae. The record is from RNAcentral.